This is a long non-coding RNA of Magnolia sinica, 531 nucleotides long. RefSeq lists it as uncharacterized. NCBI's taxonomy places the organism in Eukaryota, Viridiplantae, Streptophyta, Magnoliopsida, Magnoliales, Magnoliaceae. The record is from RefSeq and is a predicted model, not a curated record. The transcript has 2 exons.
CCAUUUUUCCUAACCCGAAAAAGCGCUGCUUAUUUCCGGCGCGCAUGUGCACGAUAGCCUUUUCCAUUUCUCUUCUGAAUUUUUAUACAGCUUUCACCUCUUUUGAUUUUUAUAUAAAAACUCAUUCUUCUUUUUUCGGUUCGGAAAGAAAGGAAGGAGACCCAAACAGAGACAGAGAGAGAGAGAGAGAAGAAAUGAAGAAGAAGAAGAAGAAAAAGAAGAAGAACGGAAAAUAUCGUGAUUUGAGGAGCUUCGGUUUUCUCCAAACAGGGACAAUAUGGGAAUUUCGUAAAGAGUGACCAUGCGUGGAAUGAAACUGAAAUCCUAUUGUCAAAGAAGCUCCUUCCUUCCAUUUUAGAUAUUGGCGCAUGGUGGCUCAAUCCUUUUAGGAAACAUUGUGUUAUUAGGGUUUAUCUUCCCAAUACAUGUUUCUAUGCUUCUCUUUAAUUUGCAAUAAUUUCAAACUUGAUACAUAAGGUUGGUGUUGCAUAAAUUCAAAAUACAAGAAAUUAUAGUGGUACACUUUUAUCA